GCGACCCCAGGUCAGUCGGGAUUACCCGCUGAAUUUAAGCAUAUAAAUAAGCGGAGGAAGAGGAACUUACAAGGAUUCCCCUAGUAACGGCGAGCGAACCGGGAGUAGCCCAGCUUGAGAAUCGGGUGGGAUGAUCCCUGUCCGAAUUGUAGUCUGGAGAGGCAUCCUCAGAGACGGACCGGGCCCAAGUUCCCUGGAAAGGGACGCCUGGGAGGGUGAGAGCCCCGUCCGGCCUGGACCCUGUCUCACCACGAGGUGCUGUCAACGAGUCGGGUUGUUUGGGAAUGCAGCCCAAAUUGGGCGGUAAACUUCGUCCAAGGCUAAAUAUAGGCGAGAGACCGAUAGC
Molecule: ribosomal RNA, 346 nt
Filed under: Sporobolus maritimus
Lineage: Eukaryota; Viridiplantae; Streptophyta; Magnoliopsida; Poales; Poaceae
Description: eukaryotic LSU rRNA
Rfam family: Eukaryotic large subunit ribosomal RNA
Source: RNAcentral